RNAcentral lists this ribosomal RNA (519 nucleotides) under uncultured bacterium. Its description in RNAcentral is "bacterial SSU rRNA". It matches the Rfam family "Bacterial small subunit ribosomal RNA", at positions 53 to 518 of the family's 1533-position model. The record is from RNAcentral.
ACAUGCAAGUCGAACGAAGCGCCCCAUUGAGAACUGAAUGAAGUUGGAGAGCUUGCUCAAAGAUGGAAUGACGUAGGAUUUGGAUUCUGCGCUUAGUGGCGAACGGGUGAGUAACACGUGGGUUACCUGCCUUCAAGCUGGGGAUAACAGCUAGAAAUGGUUGCUAAUACCGAAUGUGCUAGUAAUAGUAAAGAUGCCCUUAAAGCAUCACUUGAAGAUGGGCCUGCGGCGUAUUAGAUAGUUGGUGGGGUAAUGGCCUACCAAGUCAACGAUGCGUAGCCGGACUGAGAGGUUGAACGGCCACACUGGGACUGAGACACGGCCCAGACUCCUACGGGAGACAGCAGUUAGGAAUAUUCGGCAAUGGGCGAAAGCCUGACCGAGCAAUGCCGCGUGUGAGAUGAAGGUCCUCUGGAUUGUAAAUCACUUUUAUUUGGGAAGAACGGUAAGUAUAGGAAAUGAUACUUACGUGACGGUACCUUUUGAAUAAGCUCCGGCUAACUACGUGCCAGCCGCCGC